UACGUAGGUGACAAGCGUUAUCCGGAAUUACUGGGCGUAAAGCGCACGCAGGCGGCGCAUUAAGUCUGACGUGAAAUCUCCCGGCUUAACUGGGAGGGGUCGUUGGAAACUGAUGUGCUUGAGGCGGUGAGAGGGGUGUAGAAUUCCCGGUGUAGUGGUGGAAUGCGUAGAUAUCGGGAGGAAUACCAGUGGCGAAAGCGGCACCCUGGCACUAGCCUGACGCUCAUGUGCGAAGGCGUGGGGAGCGAACGGGAUUAGAUACCCUCGUAGUCC
Molecule: ribosomal RNA, 273 nt
Filed under: uncultured prokaryote
Description: partial 16S ribosomal RNA
Rfam family: Bacterial small subunit ribosomal RNA
Source: RNAcentral